RNAcentral lists this ribosomal RNA (512 nucleotides) under uncultured bacterium. RNAcentral describes it as "partial 16S ribosomal RNA". It matches the Rfam family "Bacterial small subunit ribosomal RNA", at positions 28 to 507 of the family's 1533-position model. The record is from RNAcentral.
GAUGAACGCUGGCGGCGUGCCUAAUACAUGCAAGUCGAACGAAACUUCUUUAUCACCGAGUGCUUGCACUCACCGAUAAAGAGUUGAGUGGCGAACGGGUGAGUAACACGUGGGCAACCUGCCCAAAAGAGGGGGAUAACACUUGGAAACAGGUGCUAAUACCGCAUAACCAUAGUUACCGCAUGGUAACUAUGUAAAAGGUGGCUAUACUACCGCUUUUGGAUGGGCCCGCGGCGCAUUAGCUAGUUGGUGGGGUAAAGGCUUGCCAAGGCAAUGAUGCGUAGCCGAAUUGAGAGGUUGAUCGGCCACAUUGGGACUGAGACACGGCCCAAACUCCUACGGGAGGCAGCAGUAGGGAAUCUUCCACAAUGGGCGAAAGCCUGAUGGAGCAACGCCGCGUGGGUGAAGAAGGUCUUCGGAUCGUAAAACCCUGUUGUUAGAGAAGAAAGUGCGUGAGAGUAACUGUUCACGUUUCGACGGUAUCUAACCAGAAAGCCACGGCUAACUACGUG